RNAcentral lists this ribosomal RNA (253 nucleotides) under uncultured bacterium. RNAcentral describes it as "partial 16S ribosomal RNA". It matches the Rfam family "Bacterial small subunit ribosomal RNA", at positions 524 to 776 of the family's 1533-position model. The record is from RNAcentral.
UACGGAGGGUGCGAGCGUUAAUCGGAAUUACUGGGCGUAAAGCGUACGCAGGCGGUUUGUUAAGCCAGAUGUGAAAGCCCCGGGCUUAACCUGGUAACUGCAUUUCGAACUGGCAAACUAGAGUGUGAUAGAGGGUGGUAGAAUUUCAGGUGUAGCGGUGAAAUGCGUAGAGAUCUGAAGGAAUACCGAUGGCGAAGGCAGCCACCUGGGUCAACACUGACGCUCAUGUACGAAAGCGUGGGGAGCAAACAGG